CCUACGGGAGGCAGCAGUGGGGAAUAUUGGGCAAUGGGCGAAAGCCUGAUCCAGCAACGCCGCGUGAAGGAAGAAGGAUUUCGGGUUGUAAACCUCUUUCGACAGGGAAGAGCAGAAGACGGUACCCGUCGAAAAAGCCACGGCUAACUACGUGCCAGCAGGCGCGGUAAUACGUAGGUGGCAAGCGUUGUCCGGAUUUACUGGGUGUAAAGGGCGUGUAGGCGGGCGGACAAGUCAGAUGUGAAAUCCGGGGGCUCAACCCCCGAACUGCAUUUGAAACUGUUGGUCUUGAGUGUCGGAGAGGCAAGCGGAAUUCCUAGUGUAGCGGUGAAAUGCGUAGAUAUUAGGAGGAACACCAGUGGCGAAGGCGGCCUACUGGACGACAACUGACGGUGAGGCGCGAAAGCGUGGGGAGCAAACAGGAUUAGAUACCCUAGUAGUC
RNAcentral lists this ribosomal RNA (442 nucleotides) under uncultured bacterium. RNAcentral's name for it is "partial 16S ribosomal RNA". It matches the Rfam family "Bacterial small subunit ribosomal RNA", at positions 338 to 795 of the family's 1533-position model. The record is from RNAcentral.